Gallus gallus (chicken) is the source of this 5356-nucleotide long non-coding RNA. The record is from Ensembl. Lineage: Eukaryota; Metazoa; Chordata; Aves; Galliformes; Phasianidae.
AUUAAAUAACGCGAAGGGUUGUGCUGCUUUCAUUACGCGUCGUGGGCGAGCGAGCUGCCUGCAGCCUCUGCCUCCUCCUCGCCUCCCGCCAGCAGAGCACUAAUUAGCAACAGGCAGGAGAGAUGCUCGUCUGCCUCCCGCCCUUUAUUAAUUGCUGGUUCGCUUUCGGCGCCGUGCAGCUUUGCUUCACCUCUGCUCGCUUUUUGGCCGCUCCCUCACAGCAGGGAUUUGCUGCUGCUGCUCACACCCAUUGGCUUUCAUCACCAAAAAGGCCCAAAUACCCCCCUGGGCAUUUCCCUCGUGGCGGAGAACAGCGGUGCCACCCGACGCGACGCAGCCCCAAACCAGGGGGCUUUUGACGGCCUUUUGGCACUCUCCAACCCACCUAUUUCAGGAGGGCACCCACUGCAAGCUCAGCUCUUCGGGCUUUAAGCCCAACUGGCGGCACUCAGCUCCUUUCAACACCGCACCUCUACUUUGCAGCGCCGCCGGAGCUCUGCAGCGCCCGCACGGCCGUCGGCCCUCUCUGCAAACGAAGGCUGCGCCGGGCCGCGGGACGCCGUGCGUUUAAAUCCGAGCGCACCUUUCCCUUCUCCUCCCAUCCCUGCCGUCUCUCAGCACCUCUCCCUGCCCGUCCUCCCCCCGCAGCCGGGAAGCGCGGCGCUGCGUCCCGUAAGCCGGGGAUGUGCGGGGAGUCGCUCCCUCGGAGGGCGAUGCUCUUCCCGACCCGGUUCGGCUCAGCAACCUGCGGGAAGGAGAGAUGGAUUCUGCCCCGACCGCCGAGGGAGAGGCAGUAAAUCACCUCCCAUUGACCGAGGAGUGCUUUCGUUCCGAGCAGAGUGCACUUUGCAUGCAUUUUGCAUGCGCUUCCAGCGCACUUUAAAUUAAUGCACUCUCGACUCAAAGCCUCUGCUAAUUCACAUUUCCCUGCACGAGCGUUCCCCUGUAGAUGUGUUCCCGACCCAAAGCCCUUUGCAGAUGGGCGGGGAGCCUCCACGUUGUCUUCCACCCUCAACCCGGGGCUAAAUUAACUGAGCUAAUCGCCCUUACGGCCACGCGUGGGGUGCGGGGGACGCAGCGAACACAUCCUGCCACGCUGCUCCAUCCCGAUGCUCGCCCUAUAGCGCCCUGCCUGCGGGCUGUGGGGCAGCUCUGGGCUCUGCCCUCCGCCUCCCAGAGGGAAAUAAUUCAUCUCGCUGCCCUCCUGCUGACUCUCUCCUGCAUUGAUCCGCUGCCAAUUGGCUGCUCUGCGAGAGGAGCGAGGGUGGAGGCUGCAGGAUUCACUGCCGAUGUUGUAAGGACAAAGUCAAGGGGACGCGCUCUUCUCAGAAACGCAUCCAGGCUGAUUUUGGGAAGAGGGGACGUUUGGGGUCCGGCUGCUGCGUGAUCCCACGUGGGCGAUGCUCUUGGUGUGGGAUGCAUUGGGCCCUCCUCUCGACCCCCCUUUACACGAGCAGCGUUGCGAAGGCUGGGAGGUGAUGAUGGUCCUGUCCUCAUUUUGAACCAAAGGGGUGAGACGUAAUGGCACUCAUUAGCUGUGUGCACUUUCCAUCUGCACAGCGUUGGUCAUUCAGGAGACGUGCCUAAAUAAGGAGCUCUGUGCCCCAAAUUCUCUGCACUCAAUGAAGAGAAAUCAGCACCUUCGGGUCUACGCUGCGGUACUAAUUGCGAACCCCCCAUGAAUCCCCCACUGAGGAGAGAGGAACCUUCAGAGCAGUGCCCCAAAUGUGUCUCCUCUCUUGGAAUGGAUCAUUGGACUCAACCCAAGGGUGGUUUGUUGGCAGAGCUGGAGGGCUGCUGCCCUGUGACGGUGGAAUGGAGCAGUUUGACUCAACCCAAUUGGUUGGCAAAGCCAGAAGGACGUCGUCCUUCUAUACUGGAAUGGAAAGUGGGACUCAACCCAAUGCUGAUUGGCUGGCAAGACCAGAUGGGUUCUGCCCUUUGAUACUGGAGUGGAAAGUGGGACUCAACCCAAUGCCAGCUGGUUGGCAAGGUCAGAUGGAUGCUGCCCUUCGACAACGCAAUGGAACAGUUUGACUCAACCCGAUGCGUAUUGGUUGGCAAGAUCGGAUGGAUGCUGCCUUCAAUACUGGAAUGGAACAUGGGACUCAACCCAACACUGGUUUGCUAGAAAAAUGAACAGACGCUGCCCUUUGGGAAAGCAGUUGAAGCUCAUCUGUAGCAUUCCCUGGGAAAUGAGGGAGCUCGUGGUGCUGGCGCAGGUCAUGGGGUGGAUGGCUCUGGUUGCUGCCGUGCCAUAAAUCCUGGCCAGGCGAGCCUGGCGGCACCGAGAGGUACCCACAAAGGGACAUCCAUCAACGUUAACCCAAAUCAACCUUUAAAAUGGAUUAGCCAGAGCACAUAAAACCCCAUUCUGGACACUUAGCCAGAAUUAGAGUUGGUUUAAUUCACUUGAGCUUAAUUCGCAAAGCUAAACCGAAUUAAGGCUGGCUGCGUUCGGAACGAGCAGCUCCACGCGUGGAGUUUAAUGUGAUUUACAUCGCCUGCUCUCCAUCCACACCUCUGGGUGAUCUAUGUGCCACCGGGGAGCAGAGCUGGCAGGGAAUGCAGGGAACGUCGCCACGCCGCUGCCAGGACCGAACAUCGCUGCAGGGUCACCGAGCCCUGGAGCAGCACGGAGGGAGGAGACGCUUCCAGUUCUCUUCUUGCAGCAGUGGGAGGGAUGGAAGGGACCCUCCAACCCCCCGAUGAAAUUAUAUCUACAUCGGCUGGAAUUCGGCUCUCGUUGACCCCAUCAAACCAGGGAAAUGCCUCCAUUGGGGCUCUGAGGAGAGCAUCCGUAACCCUGAUGGACCACUGCGAGUGGAAAACCAGCGACCACCAACCCCACCUCUCCCUGUUUGUCAGUGAUGGAGGCGAUGGGCUCCGCUUCCCAUCAGCACACUUCGUCUUAUGGCACGUUUGGCUUCCAUCCAUUUCCACCUGGGACGAAAGGAGGGGAAAAUGUGGGGGUGUGGAGAUGGGGAAGGGGCUGGCACCGCUCCCUGUGCCCCCACCUCUUCCAAAUAGGGCCGAAAUGUCUCCAACUCCUUCACGUCUCCGAAAUGUCUCCUUUCCAUUAGUGGAUGGGCACCUAUUGAAGGAUCUCAGCUGAGGGAAUUCAAAUGGUUCUAACGCAAACCGCCCUCACGGUAACCAUUAUGGUCCCUUAAAAACAUUUCAUUACGAAGGCAAGCGUAUGUUUUAGCAAUGCUCUGAUGACUCCUCAGUGUCAGGUUUAUCCCAGGCCGGGCGCUUCUCAGAAUGAAUGAGUUGAUGAGAUCCAAGUUCUCCCUUUGUUUAAUGGACUUUAAGUUGUUUAAAUCAUUGGCUUCACUUAAACCCCGCACUUAAAGAAGGGCUGUCUAUUUCUCUCCAUUAAAAGUUCAUCCAUCAUGGAAUGAGUCUUUCCGGAAAGCCCCAAUGGUGAACCAAAAGGUCCACACCAUGUCACAGCUCUGGGUUGGGUGUUUUCACACGGCGUGAGCCAUUUCCUGGCAGAAGGGGCCCAAAAUCACCACCCCAGGUAGUGGGGUUGGUGCUGCACCACGUGGUGACACCACUGGGCUUUGUAUGGGUUGAAAUGUUGGAUAACAGAGUUGGACCGGAGUGCCCACGCAACCCAACCGAUGUGAGGACGCAUGGAGGCUUCACCAUCCACAGCCACUGCUAAACCCAAGGGCUUUCUUCUAAAACAUGCCUCCAGCCAUGAAACCCAAGGGCUUUCCUCUCAAAUACAUCCCCAGCCAUGAAACCCAAGGGCUUUCCUCUCAGAUAUACCCCCCAGCCAUGAAACCCCCGCCAUUUCCUCACACAUACAUCCCUUGGCUCGGCCUUGAGAAGCCAUGCAGCGCAACCCCAUCGAUUACCAUCAUCCUUCCCAUUCCCUUUUACACCCACGAAGCUCAGAGGUGCCCCCCACCACCCCCAGAGCCCGCAGCAGUCAUCCAUUGCCAACUGACUUUGUGUUCUCCUUGCGACGUCGGCGCGCGCGCGCGGCGCAGAUGUAAAUACAUCCCGGCUGUCCUGCUUUGAUUCAUGCUUUGGUAUCGGAUCGCGUGCGCCUCCCUGGACGCCAUAAAUCUCCUCGGGGUAACUCCACCUGAAUUGCUCUUUGUGUGCGUUGCAGGUCGGGAUGAGGAACUGCUCUGCAGGGGAGCCUCUCGCCAGCGCCGUGUUUCCAUUCGCCUGCGCGGAUCGACGUCUGCGGUGGGAGGGAAUUGGGGUAGGGGCAGCCCGGCGUCUCCGGUGUGGAGCUCGGAGGGAGACAGAAAAGUGCUUUUUGGGGACCUGAUGGGUUACAAAUCACACAUCUUUUGUCCCACCCCCGUGGGGAGCAGGAAUGGGGUCAGGGCAGCCCGUGGUUGAAUGUCUCCUUGCGUUUGCCAUCGCCCUGCAGCACCCGGAGUCAUUUGGCUGAGUAGAAGAUGAGGUCCCCCUGAAGUGGAUGCUUGGGGUUCCACAAAGCCAACAAAACCCAACCAGCCCAGAGCCAUCUCACCACGCUGCGACCAUCUCAGAGCCAAAAGUGGCCCUCAGGGCUCACACGAUGCCAUGGGAGCACCUCAAGGGUGUGCUGGGACAUCCUCAUGUGGACGUGGAACCUGGCCUUGGCCAACAGGGGUUCUCGAGGCUCACAUGGCCCAAUGGGAAUGCCUCUAAGAUGUUUUGGGACAUCCUCAUGUGGACGUGGAACCUGGCUUUGGCCCACAGUGGUCCUCCAGGCUCUCCCAGUGCCAUAAGAACAUCUGUAGGGUGCAGUGGGAGAUCCUCCUACGGACAUGGAAGCCGGGCUUGGCCAACAGUGGUCCUCCAGGCUCACGUGAUGCCAUGGGAACACCUCUGGGGUGUAAUGGGGCAUCUUCAUGUGGACAUGGAACCCGGUCUUGGCCAACAGAGGUCCUCCAGGCUUGCACCACAGGAGCACCUCUGGGAUAUACUGGGACAUCCUCGUGUGGGGAUGGGGACACUCAGUCACAGCAACCGGUGCCGACGUCCCCAACCUGGAACACAGAGAGAAGAGGCCACAUCCUGCCCGAGGCCACCACCUUCCCCAUCCAUUCACUCCUUCAGCUCCAGAAAUACCCUGACAUGGGACACUCUGCAUCUCAGAGCUCUCCCCCCAACCAUCCACAGCGCCACGGAGCAAAGCCUGGGUGAGAAACACGUCCGGAUGGGGCUGAGCUCACAGUUCAGGGCGCCUUCCAGCCAAAGGAAGGGAUUCUUUUAUGGAAUCCUGGAGGAAAAAAGGGACUGCAGCACCCAUGGGCUGCCAGGAAGAGUGAGAUUCGUACUGCACAAAAGAUAGGAGAGGAUCACAGAGCACAAAGCCCUCAACGUCUUCCAUUAUAUCCAC